CCCCAGACUCCUACGGGAGGCAGCAGUGGGGAAUAUUGCACAAUGGGGGAAACCCUGAUGCAGCGACGCCGCGUGAGCGAUGAAGUAUUUCGGUAUGUAAAGCUCUAUCAGCAGGGAAGAAAAUGACGGUACCUGACUAAGAAGCCCCGGCUAACUACGUGCCAGCAGCCGCGGUAAUACGUAGGGGGCAAGCGUUAUCCGGAUUUACUGGGUGUAAAGGGAGCGUAGACGGCUGUGCAAGCCAGAUGUGAAAGCCCGGGGCUCAACCCCGGGACUGCAUUUGGAACUGUGUGGCUGGAGUGUCGGAGAGGCAGGCGGAAUUCCUAGUGUAGCGGUGAAAUGCGUAGAUAUUAGGAGGAACACCAGUGGCGAAGGCGGCCUGCUGGACGAUGACUGACGUUGAGGCUCGAAAGCGUGGGGAGCAAACAGGAUUAGAUACCCUGGUACA
This 448-nucleotide ribosomal RNA is filed under the name uncultured bacterium. RNAcentral's name for it is "partial 16S ribosomal RNA". It matches the Rfam family "Bacterial small subunit ribosomal RNA", at positions 329 to 794 of the family's 1533-position model. The record is from RNAcentral.